This 1064-nucleotide ribosomal RNA is filed under the name Prymnesium parvum. RNAcentral describes it as "partial Bacterial large subunit ribosomal RNA". It matches the Rfam family "Bacterial large subunit ribosomal RNA", at positions 715 to 1839 of the family's 2925-position model. The record is from RNAcentral. Lineage: Eukaryota; Haptophyta; Prymnesiales; Prymnesiaceae.
GCGAAACCGUGUGAUCUACCCAUGGGCAGGCUGAAGCUGUAGUAACAUACAGUGGAGGGCCGAACCGGUUGACGUUGAAAAGUCUUCGGAUGACCUGUGGGUAGGGGUGAAAGGCCAAUCAAACUCGGAAAUAGCUCGUACUCCCCGAAAUGCAUUUAGGUGCAGCGUUGAUCCAUAGUUUUAUAGAGGUAGAGCUACUGAUUGGAUGCGGGGGCUUCACCGCCUACCAAUUCCUGACAAACUCCGAAUGCUAUGAAAUGUUAAUCAGCAGUGAGGGCAUGGGUGCUAAGGUCCAUGUCCGAGAGGGAAACAACCCGGACCACCAGCUAAGGUCCCUAAGUGUGUAUUAAGUUGAGAAAACGCGGUCGGACUGCUUUGACAGCCAGGAUGUUGGCUUGGAAGCAGCCAUUCAUUUAAAGAGUGCGUAACAGCUCACUGGUCGAGCGGUCCGGCAUGGAUAAUGAUCGGGCAUAAAUACACCACCGAAGCUGUGGACUUCCUUUGGAAGUGGUAGGGGAGCAUUGUGUUUGCGUUGAAGGUUGACUGCGAGGUCUGCUGGAGCGACCACAAAUGAAAAUGUAGGCAUAAGUAACGAUAAUGGGGGCGAGAAACCCCCACACCGAAAGACCAAGGUUUCCCCGGCUAUGCUAAUCAGCCGGGGGUUAGUCGGGACCUAAGGCGAACCCGAAAGGGGUAGUCGAUGGACAACGGGUUAAUAUUCCCGUACCCGCUCACAUUAAAAGCGACGGAGGCGCGGCGUUGGUGCGCACUGACAGAAUAGUGCGUUGAACUCUACGAAAGUAGAGGAUAGUACGAUGAGGCUACGGCCAAGUCGAUAAUCCAGCAUAGCGACUUCCUAGAAAAGCAAGUGAAGCGGCCCGUACCGUAAACCGACACAGGUAGUCGAGGAGAGUAUCCUAAGGUGCUCGAGUGAUCCGUGGUUAAGGAACUAGGCAAAUUAGCCCUGUAACUUCGGGAGAAAGGGCCCCCUCUUCGGAGGGGCGCAGUGAAAUGGCCCAGGCGACUGUUUAGCAAAAACACAGGACUAUGCUAAGUUGAAAGAC